Molecule: ribosomal RNA, 492 nt
Filed under: uncultured bacterium
Lineage: Bacteria
Description: partial 16S ribosomal RNA
Rfam family: Bacterial small subunit ribosomal RNA
Source: RNAcentral
AGUGAACGCUGGCGGUAGGCCUAACACAUGCCAGUCGAACGGCAGCACAGUAAGAGCUUGCUCUUACGGGUGGCGAGUGGCGGACGGGUGAGGAAUACAUCGGAAUCUACUUUUUCGUGGGGGAUAACGUAGGGAAACUUACGCUAAUACCGCAUACGACCUACGGGUGAAAGCAGGGGAUCUUCGGACCUUGCGCGAUUGAAUGAGCCGAUGUCGGAUUAGCUGGUUGGCGGGGUAAAGGCCCACCAAGGCGACGAUCCGUAGCUGGUCCGAGAGGAUGAUCAGCCACACUGGAACUGAGACACGGUCCAGACUCCUACGGGAGGCAGCAGUGGGGAAUAUUGGACAAUGGGCGCAAGCCUGAUCCAGCCAUACCGCGUGGGUGAAGAAGGCCUUCGGGUUGUAAAGCCCUUUUGUUGGGAAAGAAAAGCAGCAGGUUAAUACCCCGCUGUUCUGACGGUACCCAAAGAAUAAGCACCGGCUAACUUCGUG